This 253-nucleotide ribosomal RNA is filed under the name uncultured bacterium. Its description in RNAcentral is "partial 16S ribosomal RNA". It matches the Rfam family "Bacterial small subunit ribosomal RNA", at positions 524 to 776 of the family's 1533-position model. The record is from RNAcentral.
UACGUAGGGACCGAGCGUUGUCCGGAUUCAUUGGGCGUAAAGAGCUCGUAGGCGGCUGUUCAAGUCGAACGUGAAAACUCGGGGCUCAACUCCGAGCCUGCGUUCGAUACUGGACGGCUAGAGUCUGGUAGGGGGAUCUGGAAUUCCUGGUGUAGCGGUGGAAUGCGCAGAUAUCAGGAGGAACACCGGUGGCGAAGGCGGAUCUCUGGGCCAUUACUGACGCUGAGGAGCGAAAGCGUGGGGAGCGAACAGG